Long non-coding RNA from Ruditapes philippinarum (Manila clam), 1086 nucleotides. RefSeq lists it as uncharacterized. NCBI's taxonomy places the organism in Eukaryota, Metazoa, Mollusca, Bivalvia, Venerida, Veneridae. The record is from RefSeq and is a predicted model, not a curated record. The transcript is spliced from 2 exons.
AAAAAAUAACCACAUUUAUUUGUAAAUAUAGAAAGUAAUUUAAAUAUUGUAUGAGCUUAAAUGAAACGUGUUAGCUUCGUAUUUGUUGUGAUUGCAAAUAGCUAAAGAAAGGCGAACAUUUCUUAUUUAUAUCGGCAAUAUUGCAAUGACUUUCAAAUAGUUGAAAAAUAGGAUUUUUACUUGCUCAUAUUAAAUUUCGCAAGAAAUGAAUUUACCGUUUUUAACACUUUUAGUAAGUGUUUCGCAAAUUAUGGCACUGCCGGUUCGGAUAUCAGAUCAAAUGUAUAUAACACCAGAGGACAAUUGGAUAAUGACUAUAGAAGAUCCGGUAGACAUUAGACGGGACUCUGAUACAUUACUUGAAACAGAGAUCCAACCACACUAUGAUAAUGGUUUUGACGUAUUCAAAAGAAAAAAGUACAGGAAUGGACUAAGGAAAAAAUGUAAAAAACAAACACCUUUAAUUCCGCUCGGAAUAGCAUGCCAGCAGUUAAGAAAAUCAAUUAAAUAGAAAAAGAAGUUUAUUAAGUAAAGAAUUAGACCAUGAAAAAUGUUUUAAGUUUGAUGGGAAUGUUUUAUUCAAAUAUCUCAAUAUGUGCACAUAAUCAGAACAUGCAUAUUUAUAUUUUUGGCGAAAAUUUAAACAUACAUUACAACAAUCUUAAGAUGUUACUUAGGAAUAUGUGCUUUGCUUGUAAACUGACUGCAUUUAUAAUUGAGAGACAACCAGCUGACCAGUGUUUCUUUGUGUUUUUUUUAAUGAUUUAGCAUUUGCUUUCUGCGGGAUUGUCUUAAUUAUAAUAGUACUUGUUUUCAUUCCUGUUUUUAUUUUACAUUUUAGUAUGUACAUUCAUUCACAUAAGCAUAUUAUUUGUGUAAAUUGACUUGUAGCUAGACUGUCAAACUUUAAGAAAUAGUCAACAACACUGAGAGUCUGCAAACAUUUAACGGAUCGGAGGUAUAAUUUUCUUCUUUGUGUUUAUGUGUACACAUAUUGUUUAUGAAUUGAUGAAUAUUAAUUACUAUUAUAAUAACAAAACAAAUGUUUAAGAUGAUUAUAAUUAUAAUAAAGUGAUAUACAUUGUA